Molecule: ribosomal RNA, 1634 nt
Filed under: Salmonella enterica
Lineage: Bacteria; Pseudomonadati; Pseudomonadota; Gammaproteobacteria; Enterobacterales; Enterobacteriaceae
Description: partial 23S ribosomal RNA
Rfam family: Bacterial large subunit ribosomal RNA
Source: RNAcentral
AGCGGGUGAAAAGCCCGCUCGCCGGAAGACCAAGGGUUCCUGUCCAACGUUAAUCGGGGCAGGGUGAGUCGACCCCUAAGGCGAGGCCGAAAGGCGUAGUCGAUGGGAAACGGGUUAAUAUUCCCGUACUUGGUGUUACUGCGAAGGGGGGACGGAGAAGGCUAUGUUGGCCGGGCGACGGUUGUCCCGGUUUAAGCGUGUAGGUGUGUGUUCCAGGUAAAUCCGGUUCACUUUAACACUGAGGCGUGAUGACGAGGCACUACGGUGCUGAAGCAACAAAUGCCCUGCUUCCAGGAAAAGCCUCUAAGCAUCAGGUAACAUCAAAUCGUACCCCAAACCGACACAGGUGGUCAGGUAGAGAAUACCAAGGCGCUUGAGAGAACUCGGGUGAAGGAACUAGGCAAAAUGGUGCCGUAACUUCGGGAGAAGGCACGCUGACACGUAGGUGAAGUGAUUUACUCAUGGAGCUGAAGUCAGUCGAAGAUACCAGCUGGCUGCAACUGUUUAUUAAAAACACAGCACUGUGCAAACACGAAAGUGGACGUAUACGGUGUGACGCCUGCCCGGUGCCGGAAGGUUAAUUGAUGGGGUCAGCGCAAGCGAAGCUCCUGAUCGAAGCCCCGGUAAACGGCGGCCGUAACUAUAACGGUCCUAAGGUAGCGAAAUUCCUUGUCGGGUAAGUUCCGACCUGCACGAAUGGCGUAAUGAUGGCCAGGCUGUCUCCACCCGAGACUCAGUGAAAUUGAACUCGCUGUGAAGAUGCAGUGUACCCGCGGCAAGACGGAAAGACCCCGUGAACCUUUACUAUAGCUUGACACUGAACAUUGAGCCUUGAUGUGUAGGAUAGGUGGGAGGCUUUGAAGUGUGGACGCCAGUCUGCAUGGAGCCGGCCUUGAAAUACCACCCUUUAAUGUUUGAUGUUCUAACGUGGACCCGUGAUCCGGGUUGCGGACAGUGUCUGGUGGGUAGUUUGACUGGGGCGGUCUCCUCCUAAAGAGUAACGGAGGAGCACGAAGGUUGGCUAAUCCUGGUCGGACAUCAGGAGGUUAGUGCAAUGGCAUAAGCCAGCUUGACUGCGAGCGUGACGGCGCGAGCAGGUGCGAAAGCAGGUCAUAGUGAUCCGGUGGUUCUGAAUGGAAGGGCCAUCGCUCAACGGAUAAAAGGUACUCCGGGGAUAACAGGCUGAUACCGCCCAAGAGUUCAUAUCGACGGCGGUGUUUGGCACCUCGAUGUCGGCUCAUCACAUCCUGGGGCUGAAGUAGGUCCCAAGGGUAUGGCUGUUCGCCAUUUAAAGUGGUACGCGAGCUGGGUUUAGAACGUCGUGAGACAGUUCGGUCCCUAUCUGCCGUGGGCGCUGGAGAACUGAGGGGGGCUGCUCCUAGUACGAGAGGACCGGAGUGGACGCAUCACUGGUGUUCGGGUUGUCAUGCCAAUGGCACUGCCCGGUAGCUAAAUGCGGAAGAGAUAAGUGCUGAAAGCAUCUAAGCACGAAACUUGCCCCGAGAUGAGUUCUCCCUGAGACUUUAGGUCUCCUGAAGGAACGUUGAAGACGACGACGUUGAUAGGCCGGGUGUGUAAGCGCAGCGAUGCGUUGAGCUAACCGGUACUAAUGAACCGUGAGGCUUAACCUUACA